Molecule: long non-coding RNA, 613 nt
Organism: Talpa occidentalis (Iberian mole)
Lineage: Eukaryota; Metazoa; Chordata; Mammalia; Eulipotyphla; Talpidae
Exons: 3
Source: RefSeq, a predicted model, not a curated record
GCAGCGGGCGGCACCUGCGCCUGGCGGGGAGCGCCUGAACGUGGCAAAGUGCUGGGGCAGCACUUUGUGUGGUUAUGCAGGGAACAAAAGUUACUUGUGCAAAACCAUAAAGGAAGACAAGAGUUUAGAUGAAAUGAUCCAUCAUGGAAGGUUCAUCAAGCACCUACUACGUGCUGGGCACUGAGAAUCCAAUACAAUUUUGUUCCUGUGCCAAUGGAGCUUGCAGCUUAGUGGGAGCCACCAGCGCCCCCCCAGGAUGUGUGUAAGCGCAUAGGCCCAUCCGGCAGGCAGCCUCCAGCCCUUGCCUCUUGCCUUGCUGCUCAGGUAGGAAGAUGGAAUUUGGAGAAACUCAACAGUCACCAAGGAAAGAACUUCAGCGAUUAAUUCCGGGGGUGAGCGGUGUCCAAAGAAGCUGGAAAGUCUCCUCCCACCGCCCACCCUGGGAACCCCAGACCCGAAGGAGCAGCGGGGCUCUCUGUGUCAUGGAAAGCUGCCCGGUUUCCCCCAAAUGCCCUCGUGUGCCCAGAGGCAUGGGGUGCUGGCCCAGGAAGGCAGCCAGAAAGUCCAGCUGGGUCGUUUGCAUGGCAGGCGCUGACGCCCGGCUGCAGCCAGC